RNAcentral lists this small RNA (84 nucleotides) under Arenibacter nanhaiticus. RNAcentral's name for it is "Arenibacter sp. NH36A Flavo-1 RNA". It matches the Rfam family "Flavo-1 RNA". The record is from Rfam by way of RNAcentral. Lineage: Bacteria; Pseudomonadati; Bacteroidota; Flavobacteriia; Flavobacteriales; Flavobacteriaceae.
UUGUAUGCGCGUUAGGGAUUGCAGCGGCAUCCUUUUUUAGGGGCAUAGGCCCUAAAAAAGAUAUAGCGGAAAGCCCGGCCCGAU